UCCACCGAAUAUCUAAGGUUUCCUGAGGAAGGCUCGUCCGCUCAGGGUUAGUCGGGACCUAAGCCGAGGCCGAUAGGCGUAGGCGAUGGACAACAGGUAGAGAUUCCUGUACCAGUGCUAAUUGUUUAACCGAUGGGGUGACACAGAAGGAUAGGGAAUCGCACGAAUGGAAAUGUGCGUCCAAGCAGUGAGUGUGAGAAGUAGGCAAAUCCGCUUCUCGCGAAGCAUGAGCUGUGAUGGGGAAGGAAAUUAAGUACGGAAGUUCCUGAUUUCACGCUGUCAAGAAAAGCCUCUAGGAAGAGUAGUACUGCCCGUACCGCAAACCGACACAGGUAGAUGAGGAGAGAAUCCUAAGGUGAGCGAGAGAACUCUCGUUAAGGAACUCGGCAAAAUGACCCCGUAACUUCGGGAGAAGGGGUGCUCUAUUAGGGUGCAAGCCCGAGAGAGCCGCAGUGAAUAGGCCCAGGCGACUGUUUAGCAAAAACACAGGUCUCUGCAAAACCGUAAGGUGACGUAUAGGGGCUGACGCCUGCCCGGUGCUGGAAGGUUAAGAGGAGUGCUUAGCUUCGGCGAAGGUACGAAUUGAAGCCCCAGUAAACGGCGGCCGUAACUAUAACGGUCCUAAGGUAGCGAAAUUCCUUGUCGGGUAAGUUCCGACCCGCACGAAAGGCGCAACGAUCUGGGCACUGUCUCAACGAGAGACUCGGUGAAAUUAUAGUACCUGUGAAGAUGCAGGUUACCCGCGACAGGACGGAAAGACCCCGUGGAGCUUUACUGCAACCUGAUAUGGAAUGUUUGUACCGCUUGUACAGGAUAGGUAGGAGCCGAAGAGACGUGUGCGCUAGCAUACGAGGAGGCAAUGGUGGGAUACUACCCUGGCUGUAUGACCAUUCUAACCCGCCACGCUUAGCGCGUGGGGAGACAGUGUCAGGUGGGCAGUUUGACUGGGGCGGUCGCCUCCUAAAGAGUAACGGAGGCGCCCAAAGGUUCCCUCAGAAUGGAUGGAAAUCAUUCGCAGAGUGUAAAGGCACAAGGGAGCUUGACUGCGAGACUGACAAGUCGAGCAGGGACGA
Molecule: ribosomal RNA, 1073 nt
Filed under: Listeria monocytogenes
Lineage: Bacteria; Bacillati; Bacillota; Bacilli; Caryophanales; Listeriaceae
Description: partial 23S ribosomal RNA
Rfam family: Bacterial large subunit ribosomal RNA
Source: RNAcentral